CAAGAGACCAAUUAACACCUUAUUUUUAGGAUUAGCCAUUCUGGUAUUUGCAGAUAGUUUCUUAAACAGGACUGUUUGGAGUUCACACUGUAGGAGUAAGUGAAGUGUUGAUAAAAGAGAUUCCAGAACAAAUAAAGAUUUCUACAGUAAAAGCUGGGGAGGUGUGUAGGGCUCCAGUCUUUGGGUUCACAGCUUGGCUCUACAUUCAUUGCUGGAGGAAUCCAAGCCUCACAAAAGACCGCUUUUAAAGAAAAACUCUAUUUUUCUUAGAAGAACUAGAAUAUGUAACACCAUUGUGAGAAAUAAAACCCCAAGGUGAACAAGAUUGAAAGUGAAGGCAGCGCUCUAAGGAGGAAGCCAGCUGGCUUGAAUGGUGAUGUAAACAGCCUUGGAGCUUUAACCAAACUUGAGUAAGAACUCCCUGACUUGGAAACACUCAAGUUUCCCACACAUGACUGGAUGGCCCUGGCCACACUGGGAACGGAAUGGGGGCCUCCCAUUGGAACUCAGGGUGGAGGGGGAAGCUCGACCAGCUAUUGUGGCCCCCACUUCCAUUGACAAAAUGUGGUGGUGAGACUUGCUCUUGGAUGCUGUCAGGAAGUAUCAUCUGACUGCGUUUGCUACCCUGGGGGAGACAAACAAAACUUGAGUGAAGGAAAAUGAGAACUCACCUGAAACCAAGAAGAGUCUUUGGAAAAGGAUUUUUGUGUAGGUCAUCUGGAAAGUGUUUACUCUUAGCAGUUAUGCAUAACUAUAGUCUUAAGAACAAAGUGAGGUGGGGGUGCGGGUAAGGGUGGGAAUGGGGUAGGGGUAAACGAGUGGGUGGAGACGUGUCUGUGUGUCCAAAAAACUGCCCCAAAGCAAACAUGGCCACGUGCACACAUCUAAACCAAUGUGUCUCUUAAGACUUUAGCCUCCAGUAUACUAUGUAGUCGCUGCAUUCGUUGACUUUCUUGUCUUACUCAGCAAAAGAUGUAGACGAUUUCCACUAUCUUUCCAUAGACCCUCGCUAAAUGACCAGAUGGGAAAAGUCUAUUGCCUGACCAAAUUGCCAGUCAGCCCAUGAGCAGUCCAGACAGUGCAGGAUUUAUAGAAAAGGAAUUUUUAUGAUUUCUUCCUGCCCAACCCCCACUAAGAAGCAAAGGCCCUACUCUUGACCUUGGCAUCCCCUUGUUGCUUUCUUCUCGUCCAUGACACCUAGGCUUGAUAUUCUUUACCUUGGGUAUUCUUGUGAAUAUUUGCUGAAUUUUCAUUUACACCAAAUACAAUUCAGAAGACAGAGGCUUUCCAAGGUAUGAGUGUGUAAGUAUGUUAAAGAAAAGCUCUCAGCUUGUCUCAUGGUUUAAAGUCCUCCUAAGAUAUCUGAGCUGAAUCUAAGGAAUAAAGUAGAUUGGUUCCUCCCUGUCUGAUGAGUUUUAUCAAAAUGUGAUAAAAUGUGGUAAAGAAAAAUGGUGGGCCAACUUCGUUAUAGUUCUACUGAGGGACACUGUACAGGUAAACCAGGCCAUAACUCAUUUGUCCUGUGACAGUUUUUAUUAUUCUGUUUUUAUGCAGUUUUGAAGAGUGAGGGGAAUUGCCCUAGACAACAGAUGUGAGAGACUUUUUUCUUUCUUUCUGUCCUGUGGACAGGCCUCAGGCUCCAGCCCAGUGACUCAUUGUUGUGGUAUUAUAUACCUCAAGAUGAAGUGUGUGCGGUGGAAAGUGUGGGCAGGAUUUAUCAGUGCGACUUCUUCCUUUGAAGUAUCAAGGCAGGCUACUUUGCUGAUGGUUUCUGGAACCUGGCCAAGCCCCAAUAUACUGUGAAAAUAGCUGUCUUAGGUUUUCCUGGCACAUGAGAACAUUUGCACUUGAUUCUCAGACCUCCAUUGCUUUCUGAUGUUUUUGAGGCCAGUGUUCUUGGGAUUUAGGGCUCAGGGCCAGAUUGUAACCCUGCCUGUUUGUACUCCUUCAAAUGCCCCAUCCCAACAUGGUUUUGAUGGCUCCAGAUACAGACUGUAACACCAACUUGAGUUCCAAAGUGCAGGCUGGCUUUAGGUUGCUUUUAAGCAUUCAUGCAUAAAUUUCUCUAUAGCCCACAUUUCCUGCUACCCUGCCCCCACUAACAAAAUGCUGACUCUUAAGGCGUUUUACUGUGACAAUGCUUUCUACGGCAAAGCAUCUUCACAUUUUCAGCUUGAAAGCAAGGCAAUGUGUACGCGGAGAAAAACAUAGGAAUACCAUGAUAACUCUAUCAGUAAAUUGAAAAAAUAGGGCUGGGCAUGAUGGUUUUACACCUGUAAUCCCAGCACUUUGGAGGCCAAGGCCAGUGGAUUACUUGAGGCCAGGAGCUUGAGACCAG
This 2338-nucleotide long non-coding RNA is filed under the name Homo sapiens (human). RNAcentral's name for it is "HSALNT0089712". The record is from RNAcentral. Lineage: Eukaryota; Metazoa; Chordata; Mammalia; Primates; Hominidae.